UACAGUGUGAGCUCAUUGGUAAAGGCAGUGGAUUACUGAUCAGAAGAUUCUGAGUUCAAAUCCCAGCAAUGCCA
Molecule: non-coding RNA, 74 nt
Organism: Ameiurus melas (black bullhead)
Lineage: Eukaryota; Metazoa; Chordata; Actinopteri; Siluriformes; Ictaluridae
Source: the annotation of a GenBank genome assembly